UACGGAGGGUGCAAGCGUUACCCGGAAUCACUGGGCGUAAAGGGCGUGUAGGCGGGAUGUUAAGUCUGGAUUUAAAGACCGAAGCUCAACUUCGGGCAUGGUCUGGAUACUGGCAUUCUAGACGACUGGAAGGGAGAGUGGAAUUCUCGGUGUAGCGGUGGAAUGCGUAGAUACCGAGAGGAACACCAGUGGCGAAGGCGGCUCUCUGGACAGUGCGUGACGCUGAGGCGCGAAAGUGUGGGGAGCGAACCGG
This 253-nucleotide ribosomal RNA is filed under the name uncultured bacterium. RNAcentral's name for it is "partial 16S ribosomal RNA". It matches the Rfam family "Bacterial small subunit ribosomal RNA", at positions 524 to 776 of the family's 1533-position model. The record is from RNAcentral.